GCGGGUGUAGCUCAGUGGUAGAGCCCUUCGUUGCCAACGAAGCUGUCGUGAGUUCGAACCUCAUCACCCGCUCCA
RNAcentral lists this transfer RNA (75 nucleotides) under Pseudomonadales bacterium. RNAcentral describes it as "tRNA-Gly". It matches the Rfam family "tRNA". Rfam says of the family: Transfer RNA (tRNA) molecules are approximately 80 nucleotides in length. Their secondary structure includes four short double-helical elements and three loops (D, anti-codon, and T loops). The record is from RNAcentral. RNAcentral also lists the same sequence under 1 other name. Lineage: Bacteria; Pseudomonadati; Pseudomonadota; Gammaproteobacteria; Pseudomonadales.